This is a long non-coding RNA of Numida meleagris (helmeted guineafowl), 994 nucleotides long. RefSeq lists it as uncharacterized. The record is from RefSeq and is a predicted model, not a curated record. The transcript is spliced from 2 exons. Lineage: Eukaryota; Metazoa; Chordata; Aves; Galliformes; Numididae.
CUGUGCCGGCGUACAGCUGUAGCGUGUGCGCCUGCGUCCUCCGGCCUGCCCGGCCAGCGGGGCGAGGCCGUGGGCACUGCGUGAGCUGUGUCACUCUCCUGGUCUCUCGCCGAGCUGCUCUCCAGGCAGCGCUGGACAGCAGAGCUGGCAGCAGGGCUGCAGCCUGGGCCAGUCCCACAGGCAACCCAGUCUCACUGCAGGCAGCCCAAGGCACAGCCCUGUCUCUGCAAGUCACUGCUGCUCUGAGGGUGCUGCGUGGGGCCAAACUAAGGCCGUGCUUCAGGAGCCUUUCAAACACUUUGUUUGCAGAAGCCACAGGAUCUAUUUUCUCCCACUGUUUGAAACAUCUUUUCUGCACGCCUCACUCCAGGCUCCUAGCCACUACAUGCUCUGUCUCCACCAGCAAUAGUGCCUUUCCUCCUCAGGCCAUCUUUCCUGCUCGAUGGACUCACUGGCCAGGCAGCCUCACCAACUAAUUGAGGAUUAUUAACACCUUGCAGCAGCAGUUUCCCCAGCUUGCCUCACACCAGCCUGCAGCCAUUGCUCAGUCUUAUGUAGGCUCACCCAGCCAGCAGCCACCACCACAAGCUUCAGGCCCCAGGCCUCUGUGAUAGCAGAAGGAAGAUCCACUCAUUAGUGGGACAGCCAGGUGCUCCUGCAGCUACUGGAACGUACUACAGUGUGUUAAUCAUCAUAGAACCAAAGAGAAACUGCAACAGUAAAUAAAGGUUCUGUGGCCUAUGUUCUAAGUGAGAACCAUAGCGAGAAGAUAGAUGUUGCACCUGUGCAAUGCUUGUUGGAGCAACAAGGAAGUGUAAGAAGAAAAAACAAAAUAACCAAAAACCCAUUCACCACCACCAAAACCUCACAAAGAGAAAACUCCCAAACACACUGUUCCCUCUGCAGCUAGCUACUUCCAAAGUAGUCCAGUUAAUCUGUAUACACCUAUACACUUUGUCCUUGAUUAUUUCUGAAUAAGAACCAGGAUACUUUU